This is a long non-coding RNA of Poeciliopsis prolifica (blackstripe livebearer), 1040 nucleotides long. RefSeq lists it as uncharacterized. The record is from RefSeq and is a predicted model, not a curated record. The transcript is spliced from 3 exons. NCBI's taxonomy places the organism in Eukaryota, Metazoa, Chordata, Actinopteri, Cyprinodontiformes, Poeciliidae.
AGCUACAAAUGAAAUAAAAGACAGAUCUGAUUUCAUACCCAUUAAUGGAACAUUCAGGAUUAGUGACCUGCAACACAGUGACAGUGGUGAUUAUAACCUUACAGUCUUUAGUUCAGAUGGGAAGCGGGCAGAAAAUCGGACUCUUCAUUUGUCUGUUCAAGGCAGUUCUUCAUUGAGCAUUGGACUUAUCACUUCAAGUAUUUUCGGCAUUUUUCUUCUUUUCAUCAGUUUAAUUGUCGUCUAUGCACGGAGGAAAAAACAAAAACGCAGAGAAACGGAAGAUCCCAGCGAUUUAACCUACGCUGUUGUUACAACAGUGCAGAAGCCAUCGAGGAGCUCAAUUAAGCAAAAAGUGGAAGAGGAAGUGGAAUAUGGCCAGAUCAAGUCUGCAGGCUGAUUUUCAGCUCUUUAAAACAGACAUCCUGAACUGAAUAUCAGUUCAAAUAAUGUACAAUGUUCUGAGGACAGACAGAUGAAAAAGCUGGAAUCCCCUUUUAUUGCGAUUUUACAUUAGAAAAAUUUACAACCCAUUAAAGCUCAUAAUGCAGGAUGUCUGAUGUUGCCACAAAUGUUUUGAUCACGGCGAAGUUUAAUUUGUUGAUGCUCUGCAUUGAUAUUCCCUAAAAUACUAGGAAGUAGUUUUGCUAAUUGGGAAAAUUGUGCAUGUUUAGUUUUAGUUAUUUUGCACAAAAUGAUCAAAAACUAUUUUUAGACAGUCAAGAUGAGGACACCAUAGAGUAUACAUUGUAAACCAUUUUAUACUGUGUUACUGAGAUAUGUAUUGUAAACUGUUGUCUUUUAUUGUUCAAUAUGCAUUCACUUUUUGAACUUUUUAAAGAGGAAAGUUCCUACUCAGUUGCACAUUCCUUGGAUCAUAAGUUCAACAUGUUUCUAUUUCCAAUAACUUCACAGUUUUUUUUUAUUAUUAUUAUUUUAAAAUCUUGAACAGCGUGAUAUUGCUGCCAUGGCAUUUAAAAUAUUUUUUAACACUUUUUCAUCUUUUCUAUGAACCUAUAUGGAAUACUGGUAUUGAACCUGAA